AUCCAACUACGGAAGCAAUCAAGCUAGCCACGCCGGCGGCUUUGCAAGUUCGCAUGGCCGCAUUCCCAACUCGACGGCGGGAACUGACUGCUCGCCGCCGCCCGGUCAGCAUCUAGCCAUCCAGGGUAAUGGUAGUUGGAAAAGACCGAUCAAUCUUGCUUGCUGCGGCUGUAAUAACCCAAGGAGCUGUAUUGAAAAUAACUUGUGGUCGAGGGCCAUCGUUUCCCCCAGCAUAAACAAUGGUAAUCCCCUUCUGGACUGCAUGGAGUGCACCAAAUGAAUCCUCAUCAGCAUGAAUUGAGAGGGACAGGAUAUCAACUCCAUCAUGAAUUGCAUCAUCUAGAGCUGCUAGCACUCCGGCACUAGCAAGCUGUAGGCUAUUCCCUGUGUUCCAUAUGACCUUAUACACAGCAAGACGUGCUCGGGGUGCACCUCCACGGGCUACUCCUGUUGCUAGGCCAUGGACGCUGACUCCAUCUACCACUGCACCAGCUGCUAUGGAUGCUGUAUGCGUUCCAUGCCCGAUCAUGUCCCGGGCAGACAUGUAAUUCUUCUUAAAGUCAGCUUUUUCUAUACCUGCAGCAUAGUACCGUGCACCAAUGAUUUUCCUGCUGCAGUUGGUUGGCCCCCAGGCCUGUCCUAGUUGACACACGCCCUUCCAUCGUGAUGGUAUUGGUCCGUAUCCAUGAUCACUGAAGCUUCUUGAUUCAGGCCAGAUACCUGCAUCAAUUGCAUAUGUUUUCCAAUUUACGCAUUAAGGAUUUUGCAAGAAUUUGUAUGGCCAAGGUCUUUUCAGAUGAUUUGGUGAUAUUGUACUAACCAGUGUCAAUCAUUCCAAUAAUUACAUCUUCUCCAUAUUUGCUCCUCUGCAG
This 872-nucleotide small RNA is filed under the name Oryza sativa Japonica Group (Japanese rice). RNAcentral describes it as "Os01g0795300". The record is from RNAcentral. Lineage: Eukaryota; Viridiplantae; Streptophyta; Magnoliopsida; Poales; Poaceae.